Long non-coding RNA from Amblyraja radiata (thorny skate), 148 nucleotides. RefSeq lists it as uncharacterized. The transcript has 4 exons. The record is from RefSeq and is a predicted model, not a curated record. NCBI's taxonomy places the organism in Eukaryota, Metazoa, Chordata, Chondrichthyes, Rajiformes, Rajidae.
GGGAGGGGGAGCGGCGACAGCAGAUUGCCAUAGAGCUACAGAGUGUGUGAACGCCUGUCGAAAUCAUGGCUGAAGGUGGUAACUGGGUAGGUGAUUCAGUGGCCUCUACAUCAAAGGGACAAAAAGAUAUAAACACAGCAAUCCCCAC